CCUACGGGAGGCUGCAGUCGAGAAUUUUUGGCAAUGGGGGAAACCCUGACCAAGCGAUGCCGCGUGCGGGAUGAAGGCCUUCGGGUUGUAAACCGCUGUCAGUGGGGAGAAAAGGAUCGGUGUACCCGGUCUUGAUCUAUCCGCAGAGGAAGUGUGGGCUAAGCUCGUGCCAGCAGCCGCGGUAAGACGAGCCACACGAACGUUAUUCGGAAUUACUGGGCUUAAAGGGUGCGUAGGCUGCGCGGAAAGUUGGGUGUGAAAUCCCUCGGCUCAACCGAGGAACUGCGCCCAAAACUACCGUGCUCGAGGAAGAUAGAGGUAAGCGGAACUUACGGUGGAGCGGUGAAAUGCGUUGAUAUCGUAAGGAACACCUGUGGCGAAAGCGGCUUACUGGGUCUUUUCUGACGCUGAUGCACGAAAGCUAGGGGAGCAAACGGGAU
This 440-nucleotide ribosomal RNA is filed under the name uncultured bacterium. Its description in RNAcentral is "bacterial SSU rRNA". It matches the Rfam family "Bacterial small subunit ribosomal RNA", at positions 338 to 778 of the family's 1533-position model. The record is from RNAcentral.